This 312-nucleotide ribosomal RNA is filed under the name Triticum aestivum (bread wheat). Its description in RNAcentral is "partial small subunit ribosomal RNA". Lineage: Eukaryota; Viridiplantae; Streptophyta; Magnoliopsida; Poales; Poaceae. The record is from RNAcentral.
AUGAAGGCCGCACGCCACUGCCAGCGAGACACCGCCGCCAGGACGCACAAGCCGCCAUCGUGUACAUGCGAGGGCCGAGGAGGAGCUGUGCCUUCUUCCGCGCACCAACGCGUGUGUUGCCCGAUGCGCCGCGAGUUUCGGCCACAACGCCUCAUCUCGCUGCGCCUCACCUCCACCACGCCGGACAGCCCAGAUCUCCUCUCGGGUCCGAGUGAUUCCUUAAAUUCUUGCGUGUGUAAUUUCUUGUUUUUCAUUAUCAACGAAAGAAAUCUGCAAAUUCUCUUGUUUCCGCCUAGGUGUCUGAAACCCUAA